GAGUUUUCCGCACUAUGGAGGUACAAAAAUAAACUACUAGACUAAAUGAAAGGGCCAUUUACACACUCCAUAACCUUAAAUCUAUAUAAAAAAAAAAGAAAAAAAAAGUCCAAAUUAUUUUCAUAUAGUUGGACUUGAUAGACGAAGCUGGCCCAUAAUACAUUGAGCUGCAUUAUAAGAUAGCACUGGUUAUGAUUGGGCUCUUUCUCCCUGCACCCUCUGAUUUCUUCCUGCACCUUCAUUAGUUUUUGGAAAAUGUCAAAAAUGCCUGUCCUGUUCAUGCAAUAUUGUUGGAAAAACUAUGGAUUAAGCUGGC
Molecule: long non-coding RNA, 316 nt
Filed under: Vigna radiata
Lineage: Eukaryota; Viridiplantae; Streptophyta; Magnoliopsida; Fabales; Fabaceae
Description: long non-coding RNA (VRAD_LNC006980)
Source: RNAcentral